Molecule: ribosomal RNA, 778 nt
Filed under: Ralstonia sp. M24T5
Lineage: Bacteria; Pseudomonadati; Pseudomonadota; Betaproteobacteria; Burkholderiales; Burkholderiaceae
Also listed under: 1 other name
Description: bacterial SSU rRNA
Rfam family: Bacterial small subunit ribosomal RNA
Source: RNAcentral
UGCAGUCGAACGGCAGCAUGAUCUAGCUUGCUAGAUUGAUGGCGAGUGGCGAACGGGUGAGUAAUACAUCGGAACGUGCCCUGUAGUGGGGGAUAACUAGUCGAAAGAUUAGCUAAUACCGCAUACGACCUGAGGGUGAAAGUGGGGGACCGCAAGGCCUCAUGCUAUAGGAGCGGCCGAUGUCUGAUUAGCUAGUUGGUGGGGUAAAGGCCCACCAAGGCGACGAUCAGUAGCUGGUCUGAGAGGACGAUCAGCCACACUGGGACUGAGACACGGCCCAGACUCCUACGGGAGGCAGCAGUGGGGAAUUUUGGACAAUGGGCGAAAGCCUGAUCCAGCAAUGCCGCGUGUGUGAAGAAGGCCUUCGGGUUGUAAAGCACUUUUGUCCGGAAAGAAAUGGCUCUGGUUAAUACCUGGGGUCGAUGACGGUACCGGAAGAAUAAGGACCGGCUAACUACGUGCCAGCAGCCGCGGUAAUACGUAGGGUCCAAGCGUUAAUCGGAAUUACUGGGCGUAAAGCGUGCGCAGGCGGUUGUGCAAGACCGAUGUGAAAUCCCCGAGCUUAACUUGGGAAUUGCAUUGGUGACUGCACGGCUAGAGUGUGUCAGAGGGGGGUAGAAUUCCACGUGUAGCAGUGAAAUGCGUAGAGAUGUGGAGGAAUACCGAUGGCGAAGGCAGCCCCCUGGGAUAACACUGACGCUCAUGCACGAAAGCGUGGGGAGCAAACAGGAUUAGAUACCCUGGUAGUCCACGCCCUAAACGAUGUCAACUAGUUGUU